This 383-nucleotide ribosomal RNA is filed under the name uncultured eukaryote. RNAcentral describes it as "partial 18S ribosomal RNA". It matches the Rfam family "Eukaryotic small subunit ribosomal RNA", at positions 592 to 976 of the family's 1831-position model. The record is from RNAcentral.
CAAUAGCGUAUAUUAAAGUUGUUGCAGUUAAAAAGCUCGUAGUUGGAUUUCUGGUGGGAGCGAUCGGUCUGGCGCUUAGCGCGAGUACUUGCAUCGUCUCCGGCCAUCCUUGGGGAGAGUCUGUCUGGCAUUAAGUUGUCGGGCAGAGGAUCCUCAUCGUUUACUGUGAAAAAAUUAGAGUGUUCAAAGCAGGCUUAUGCCGCUGAAUAUAUUAGCAUGGAAUAAUAAGAUAGGACUUUGGUACUAUUUUGUUGGUUUGCGCACCAAAGUAAUGAUUAAUAGGGACAGUUGGGGGUAUUCGUAUUCCGUUGUCAGAGGUGAAAUUCUUGGAUUUACGGAAGACGAACUACUGCGAAAGCAUUUACCAAGGAUGUUUUCAUUAA